AUGGCUGAGAUGGCCAAGGGCGCGGUGGACUCGUUGCUGGGCACCAUAGGCGCGGCGAUCGGCGAGAGGGCAGCGCUGAUGGGAAGCGUCCGGCGCGACAUGCGGUUCAUCAAGGGCGAGAUGGAGAGCAUGAACGGCUUCCUGCUGGACGUGGACGACCCCGCGGAGCAGAGCAACCAGGUGCAGGCGUGGAUGAGGCAGGUCCGGGACCUGGCCUACGACUCCCAGAGCUGCAUCGACCGCUACGUGCAGACCGUCGGCGCCGGCCACUCCUCGGCGGGCCUCCUGGGCUCCAUCGGCCGGGCGCCGCAGGUGUUGCGCACCCUGCCGGACCGCUACCGCAUCGCCAUGCAGAUCAAGGAGAUAAAGUCCAGGGCGCAGGAGGUCGGGGAGCGCCGGCAGCGGUACGGCGUCCAGGCGCUGGCGACGACGGCGCGUUGCGGUAGAGGUGGCGCCAAGGUGGCGGAGGAGGACGCGGCGGCGGCAGGGAGGCGCCGCCGUGUCCUCGCCGAUGCCGAGAACUUGCUGGACGCCGACGCGCGGGAGGUGGUGGCUUGGGUGACCAGAGGCGGGCGCCAUGAUGCUAACCAUCGUGCAUCGCCGCUCUCGAAAUCUGCUGGCAAAUUCGUCCGCGCCUUGUUCUCCAUGACCAUGUUCACCAACACGGCGGACGUGGAGUCGGAGCUGGCCACGGCGGCAAGGGAGGUGCUAGGCGACGGAGACCCCGAGAACAUAGAGGACGCCGCCGCCAUCCUGAGCAAGCAAGGGACAGAGAUCACGGACAAGGAGAUAAGCGCAGUGAUCGCCGCCGUCAAGGAGCUACUGGGAUUUCGCCGAGACCCAGCAAAGUCGUCACCAGCACCAGGUGUCGGCGGCCCUGACGAGCACAAGCCUGGGACAAGCGAGAAAAAACAAGCGUUCACUGACGCGCUAGAGAGUCUCAAGGUGGCAAAUACCCCGACGGACGUGGCCCUGGCGGAGAAGCUGUACUCAGACCAGCUGAAAGAGUGGCUGAGAAAAUUAUUCGACAAUGAACUUAUUGAAGAACUGGUGCUGGGUGGCUGGUUGCACAGUGCUGUCAAGCAAGCACAGGAGAAUAAGUAUAUUGAAAUGGCCAUAGAGCGGGCACCUGACGCCCUUCACUCUAUCGUACAAGCGGUGAAGAAAGUCGUGGGCGAGGGCGAUGGCUCGGCACAGGAGGCGCCGGAAAAGCCUGGUGACACCGACCAUGUCCAAGACAAAUCACCGAGCAAUGACUCGGUGUCGGUGCAACAAAAAUCCGUCCCCACUAGUAAGACUGUUGAUGAUAGGUCAGUAAUGGAAGAAAUUAAGAUGGCAGCACAAGACGUCGGGAAGGCAGCAAUAGAGGCUAUCGGUGACGGGAAGACAGCAAUAGAGUCAGCAAUAAAGACUGCGGCAUCAAUAUCCGACAACUCCAUUAUUAAACCCCUCGCUCACUCUAUUGAAAACAUUGAAUCCCGGGUUGCCUGGUUCCAAGAACUGGUUGACCACGGCGGCGGGCGACGUGAUGGAGGGCGGCCUAGGCUCCUCGCCAUUGUAACACCAGCAGCUGAUGCCCACUACCCAGAAGAAGGCGGUGACCGCCCGGCGACCAAGCUUGCUAGGAGUGUGUACGAGAUGUGCAAGGGUGACCAUCAUUUCGACCGCGUGGCUUGGAUCGACGCCAAGUGCAAUGCAAACAAAACGCAGAGGCUCCGGUGCUUAUUACAACAGUUGCAGCUGCAAUCCUUGUUGGUCGGUGAAGAUGUGAGCACAUUGAGUGGUCAGCAACUGGCGACAGAGAUCCGGAACCAACUGCAAGGUAAAAAGUUUUUGAUUGUCAUGGCUGAUCCUCCUGGGGAUGAGGAUGAGGCACCAUGGGCAGACAUAGCAUCUGCCCUACCACCAUGGGAUUCUCAUUCUCAUUGCAGUGGCAGCACAAUCAUAGUCACUCCAAUGGUACAACAACCAGUUCAAUUCCACGGGUGGUACCUAGCCAGUUGGCUCUUUUUGCUCAAGGCCUCUCGCUACAAGGUGCACUUCUAUUCACACCUUGAAGCUACCAGCAAGAAAGCCAAUGAGUUGUUGGUGGGCGGCCACGACAGUCGAGAGCUACAGAGCAUUGUCAAGAGAAUACUGCAAAAGUGUCGCCGAGACAAGUUCUCCACCACCAUGUUCCUCCAUGCUCUGUAUGCUAAUCCUCGCAGAAGCGAGAUUGAGUUCUUGGCACUGCUGAAUCAACUACAAGAUGUCGGCAGUACGGCGAGGAUGGCUCAGGAAAUCGUAAGGUUCUGCCACAGCGAUCUGUCCAUCCACUGCAAGACCUACUUGCACGACCUAGCCAUGUUCCAGAAGAACUCUAGUUGCAAGAUUAGGAGGGGUAGCUCAAUAAGGCGAUGGUCUGCUCAAAACCUCAUCAGCAACAGAAGGCAAGCAUUGGAUGAAGCCGAGCAUGGUCUCAAUGCGCUGGUUAAUCGAGGCCUUGUUCGUCUCAAAGAUCCUAGUCCUGCAGGCAAAGCGAAGAAUUGCGAGCUACCUCCUCAAGUUUUGACCUUUGUUGAAACGAAUACAUCCUCUGAGGACAAUAUUGGCAACAAAGAUCUGCUACCUGAGUUGGUUCCCCGCCUUUCCAUUCGCAAUAAAUUGCAACUGCAGCAACUCUCCGAUGGGCAACAGGCCACACAUUUGAGCUUGUGCCGAAGAAUGCUCAAGUGUACCACUCCAGCAGACGCAGAAGAUUCUAAAGAUCCCUCGUCGGUAAUAUCAUUUCUUAACUCGUUGUCUGCAUAUUCUCAACUAGGAUUGAUCAUGGUUCUAGACCUGGAAGGCUGUCCUGGACUGAACAUGGACAACCUCAAGAACAUUUGCAACAAGAAGUUUCAGCUCAAGUAUCUGAGUCUAAGGAAGACGGAAGUUCACGAGCUACCCAAGGAGAUCAGCAAGCUCCAGGGGUUGGAGACACUUGACAUCAGGGAAACCUAUAUAAAGUCAUUCCCAGAAGAUGUGGUUCUCCAGAAGCUAAUGCAUCUGCUUGCUGGUCAUAUAAGGUCUGACGAAUCACUUUGCACUAUUCAUAUUCCUCCUGCAAUUGGGAGCAUGACAAACAUACAAGUACUGUCCCAUGUUGAAGCUUCUCAUUUUGCUGAUGUGAAUGAAUUUCAAGAUGUUGGCCUGCUGACGCAGUUGAGGAAAUUUGGAGUAGUCAUCCCUUGCAACAACCCUGAAGCUAUGGACAGUUUGCUUAAAGAAAUUGGGAAGCUAGAUGAAUGCCUAACCUCUCUGUCGGUUCAUAUUAAACAAGAAGAGGGCGCACAUGUCCCUGCACCUGCAGUUGACAUGAACAAAACGGUAAUCUCACAUCCUAGGUCUCUUGAAAGCCUUAACAUCACUGGCAAGAUAUCAGGGCUGCCUACUUGGAUCAAAAAGCUCCAUCGACUCACCAAGAUAACUCUGUGUCGUACAUUCUUGCUUGCUAGUCAGAUAGGCAUCCUGGGUAAGCUUAUGAACUUGCGCAUUGUUGUGCUCAGGCCCGACUCGUGUGUUGACCGCUAUCUUACUUUCAAGGGGAAAGAAUUCACACAGCUUGAGCUUCUUGUCAUCGAGGUUGAGGGGUUACAAAUCAUCAAGAUCAGUUUUGAUCCACCUGUAGCUCCCAAGCUUGAGAAGAUUGUUUGGACUUCUACUUCCACCACCAGCAAGGAAGAUACUUCAUCUGAUAAACCAAACAUGGCAGAUAUGUCUGGGAUUGACAAACUCCCAAGCCUGAGACACAUAGAGUUGAGCAGCUUCGACAUGGAUAGAUGCAGCUUCAACAUUAGAAGCAUCAACCAACAAAUGUGCAAAAAUCCAAACAAUCCUAAACUUAAACCGGAGGAGCUAAUCCCUAAAGAUGUUGUUGUUGUUGCUGCUGCCGCCGCCGCUGCAAGCCUCAUUCCUGAUCCGCGGUAA
RNAcentral lists this ribosomal RNA (3948 nucleotides) under Triticum aestivum (bread wheat). Its description in RNAcentral is "partial small subunit ribosomal RNA". Lineage: Eukaryota; Viridiplantae; Streptophyta; Magnoliopsida; Poales; Poaceae. The record is from RNAcentral.